CGGAGGAAAAGAAACUAACCAGGAUUCCCUUAGUAGCGGCGAGCGAACCGGGAAAAGCCCAAUAUGAAAAGCCUUUACAGGCGUUGUAUUUUGAGCAGACUGGAGGCGUCAGUUCAGGUAAGUGGCAUGGAAAUGUCUACCGUGGAGGGUGAAAGUCCCGUCCAACCUGGGCAACGACGUUCUCGUACAGGUCUGUUUCAGUCGAGUCGGGUAGCUUGGGAAUGCUGCUCUAAUCGGUGGUAAAUCUCAUCGAAGGCUAAAUACUGGUGGGAGACUGAUAGCAAAAAAGUACCGUGAGGGAAAGAUGAAAAGCACUUUGAAAAGAGAGUGAAAAGAACCUGAAACCAUUCUGUGGGAAGCGUAUUGCAUCACAAUGAGAGACGUUUGCAUGUUCAACCUUUCGGGGUGCAUUCAUGUAGAGGUCUAUCUGUCGUGGGCUUGUGGGCAGUCGAUUUUAUUUUGGGCUGCCUCAGGCUGAGGGCUCCGCGAAAGCGUUGAGGACGACAGAGGGACGAUGCGAUUCGACCCGUCUUGAAACACGGACCAAGGAGUCUAGCACAUCUGCGAGUCAAAGGGUGUUUAAACCCCAGGGCGCAGUGAAAGCAAAUUUGUUCCAUAAAACGAGCAGUUUGAGGCGGCAUACGAUCGUUGAUUGUAAGUCUGACCUAGAGCAAAUGUGCUGGGACCCGAAAGAUGGUGAACUAUGCCGGAGUAGGGCGAAGCCAGAGGAAACUCUGGUGGAGGCUCGUAGCGGUGCUGACGUGCAAAUCGCUCGUCCAACUCGGGUAUAGGGGCGAAAGACUAAUCGAACCAUCUAGUAGCUGGUUCCCUCCGAAGUUUCUCUCAGGAUAGCGGGCAGACUGACGUUGUUUUGUGCGGUAAAGCGAAUGAUUAGCGCACUCGGGGGCUUUUAGCCUUCGGGCGAUUCUCAAACUUUAAAUGCGCAAGGGUGCCGCUGCUUUAUUGAGCGGUACCGUUAAAAACGUCUGCCCUGUGGGCCACUUUUGGUAAGCAGAACUGGCGAUACGGGAUGAACCGUAAGCGUGGUUAAGGCGUCAAAUUAUCCGCUCAAAGAACCCAAAAAAGGUGUUGAUUCAUCGAGACAGCAGGACGGUGGCCAUGGAAGUCGGAAUCCGCUAAGGAGUGUGUAACAACUCACCUGCCGAAUGAAUUAGCCCUGAAAAUGGAUGACGCUUAAGCGGAUAGCCGACACCACGCCGUCUGAUCAAAGUGGACUCAGAUGAGUAGGAGGGCGUGGCGGUCGUAUGGAAGCGUCCGUGCGAACGGGCGUGAAACGGCCGCUAGUGCAGAUCUUGGUGGUAGUAGCAAAUAUUCAAGUGAGAUCCUUGAAGGACGAAGCGGGGAAGGGUUCCACGCGAACAUUGAUUGAGCGUGGGUGAGUCGUUCCUAAGCCGAGUGGUCAUAGCUAAUUACCGGCGAAAGGGAAGCGGGUUGACAUUCCCGCACGCGGAUGUGGAGGCGGCGACGCCGAAUGAGGUGAUGACGUUGGCGGUGGCUCUGGGCAGAGUUUUCUUUUCUGUUUGACCGUCUCUGUACACUGUGUGGAAUCCGCUUGUCGGGAGAAACACGCGUGCAUGGGCAUAGCGCCGGGGCUUUUCCGGCGUCCAGAUCGCCACCGACGACCCUUGAAAAAUCACCCGCUGAAAUAUUCAAUCCACGCCGCGGCGUACCGAUCACCGCAUCAGGUCCCCAAGGUGAACAGCCUCUGUUCAAUAUGAAAAAUGCAGGUAAGGGAAGUCGGCAAAUUAGACCCGUAACUUUGGGAAAAGGGUUGGCUCUAGUGCUGCGUGGGAGUGGUUGUUGUAUUUUGGCUGCCUCAGCUGGGCACUUUGUUGCGGAGAGCCUUGUGUUUUCUGUGACAUCGAGUCUGGUCGGAGUAGCUGAGUGCGACGACGCCCACAGCAUGCAGCAGACUAGAACUGCAACGGGCAAAGGGAAUCCGACUGUUUAAUUAAAACAAAGCAUUGCGACGGCCGUGGCCGGUGUUGACGCAAUGUGAUUUCUGCUCAGUGCUCUGAAUGUCAAAGUGAAGAGAUUCAAUCAAGCGCGGGUAAACAGCGGGAGUAACUAUGACUCUCUUAAGGUAGCCAAAUGCCUCGUCAUCUAAUUAGUGACGCGCAUGAAUGGAUUAACGAGAUUCCUACUGUCCCUAUCUGCUUCUAGCGAAACCACAGCCGGGGGAACGGGCCCGGCGAAAUCGGCGGGGAAAGAAGACCCUGUUGAGCUUGACUCUAUUCUAAUUUUGUGAGGCGAGUUGGGAGGUGUAGCAUAGGUGGGAGUGCUUGCACGUCCGUGAAAUACCACUACUCCCAAUCUCGCCUUACUUACCGGGUUGGUGUGGGUGAGUCUUCGGACUCUUUUUUUGAGCCAAUGUCCAUUUUUUAUGGGCAGACCACCGCCCGGCACACAUUUAGGAGGGGAGUUUGGCUGGGGCGGCACAUCUUCUACAAAACAACGAAGGUGUCCAAAGAUGAGCUCAGUGAGAACAGAAAUCUCACGUAGCGCAAAAGGGUAAAAGCUCGUUUGAUUUUGAUUUCCAGUGCGAGUCGAAAACGCGAAAGCGUGGCCUAUCGAUCCUUUUAUGUUUCGAGAUUUGAAGCAAGAGGUGUCAGAAAAGUUACCACAGGGAUAACUGGCUUGUGGCGGCCAAGCGUUCAUAGCGACGUCGCUUUUUGAUCCUUCGAUGUCGGCUCUUCC
RNAcentral lists this ribosomal RNA (2718 nucleotides) under Ceramium virgatum. Its description in RNAcentral is "LSU rRNA". It matches the Rfam family "Eukaryotic large subunit ribosomal RNA", at positions 51 to 2894 of the family's 3401-position model. Lineage: Eukaryota; Rhodophyta; Florideophyceae; Ceramiales; Ceramiaceae. The record is from RNAcentral.